RNAcentral lists this long non-coding RNA (238 nucleotides) under Lathyrus oleraceus (garden pea). Its description in RNAcentral is "Pisum sativum (pea) long non-coding RNA (PSAT_LNC011691)". The record is from RNAcentral. Lineage: Eukaryota; Viridiplantae; Streptophyta; Magnoliopsida; Fabales; Fabaceae.
UUAAAUCUUUAUUUUACGUUAGCGGUCAUCCCAAAAUUUUUUAUCUGGCUCCGCCACUGGGAAAAAGACAAAAAGAGAGGAAAAAUCUCCAAUCCAUUAACUCUCUCUCCAAUACUGAUUUCCACUAUCUCUCUCUUCAAAAGAAUAAAAAAUGAAUAAAAAGGGGAACCUAACUCAUUCAAAAAAGGAGAAGGAAAUUAGAAAGAAGGACGUUACCUCUCUUUUCUCUCUAGCCCAC